Molecule: unclassified non-coding RNA, 315 nt
Filed under: uncultured Icmadophila
Lineage: Eukaryota; Fungi; Ascomycota; Lecanoromycetes; Pertusariales; Icmadophilaceae
Description: partial contains 5.8S ribosomal RNA, internal transcribed spacer 2, and large subunit ribosomal RNA
Source: RNAcentral
AACGCACAUUGCACCUUUUGGUAUUCCGAAAGGUAUGCUUGUUCGAGCGUCGUUUAAACAAUAUCAAUUUAAUUAUUGAUGUAUUGAGUUUUUGAUACUUUUAAUCAAGUGUCAUACUCCAAAAGAAUUGAACGCGAUCUUGAAAAUAGAUUUAUAUUGAACGCAUUAAAGUCUUAAAACAACUACGUACAAAUAAAAUCUUUCAAGAGCAGCCAAAUUAAACCAUUUCUAAUAGAAUUGUAAAAAGGUUCUAAUAGAAAUACUUUUAUUUUUAAGAUCGACCUCGAAUCAAGUAGGAUUACCCGCUGAACUUAA